CAGCAGCCGCGGUAAUACAGAGGGUGCUAGCGUUAAUCGGAUUUACUGGGCGUAAAGCGUGCGUAGGCGGCUUCUUAAGUCGGAUGUGAAAUCCCUGAGCUUAACUUAGGAAUUGCAUUCGAUACUGGGAAGCUAGAGUAUGGGAGAGGAUGGUAGAAUUCCAGGUGUAGCGGUGAAAUGCGUAGAGAUCUGGAGGAAUACCGAUGGCGAAGGCAGCCAUCUGGCCUAAUACUGACGCUGAGGUACGAAAGCAUGGGGAGCAAACAGGAUUAGAUACCCCAGUAGUCCCUGUCUCUUAUAA
RNAcentral lists this ribosomal RNA (301 nucleotides) under uncultured bacterium. RNAcentral's name for it is "partial 16S ribosomal RNA". It matches the Rfam family "Bacterial small subunit ribosomal RNA", at positions 509 to 809 of the family's 1533-position model. The record is from RNAcentral.